Molecule: ribosomal RNA, 608 nt
Filed under: uncultured bacterium
Lineage: Bacteria
Description: bacterial SSU rRNA
Rfam family: Bacterial small subunit ribosomal RNA
Source: RNAcentral
CCUACGGGAGGCAGCAGUGGGGAAUAUUGCGCAAUGGGCGAAAGCCUGACGCAGCGACGCCGCGUGAGGGAUGACGGCCUUCGGGUUGUAAACCUCUUUCAGCAGGGAAGAAGCGAAAGUGACGGUACCUGCAGAAGAAGCACCGGCUAACUACGUGCCAGCAGCCGCGGUAAUACGUAGGGUGCGAGCGUUGUCCGGAAUUAUUGGGCGUAAAGAGCUCGUAGGCGGCCUGUCGCGUCGGAUGUGAAAACUCGGGGCUUAACCCCGAGCCUGCAUUCGAUACGGGCAGGCUAGAGUUCGGCAGGGGAGACUGGAAUUCCUGGUGUAGCGGUGAAAUGCGCAGAUAUCAGGAGGAACACCGGUGGCGAAGGCGGGUCUCUGGGCCGAUACUGACGCUGAGGAGCGAAAGCGUGGGGAGCGAACAGGAUUAGAUACCCUGGUAGUCCACGCCGUAAACGUUGGGAACUAGGUGUGGGCGACAUUCCACGUCGUCCGUGCCGCAGCUAACGCAUUAACGUUCCCCGCCUGGGGAGUACGGCCGCAAGGGCUAAAACUUAAAGAUAGUACGGACGUGAGACGUGCCGACGGACGACACGACGGGAGGUAGG